Bombus impatiens (common eastern bumble bee) is the source of this 485-nucleotide long non-coding RNA. RefSeq lists it as uncharacterized. The record is from RefSeq and is a predicted model, not a curated record. NCBI's taxonomy places the organism in Eukaryota, Metazoa, Arthropoda, Insecta, Hymenoptera, Apidae. The transcript has 3 exons.
ACCCGACUCUUCGUUGUCCUCUCUGUCUUUUUCUCUCUCUGGUUCUUGGUGUUCUCCUGUUACGCUUUCGCGGCUCUCCUGGUACGUGUGCGUGCCCAGUGGCGCCGCCGGCCGGGCGAAAUCCUAGAACCCUAGAACGACAGCCGAGACUCUGACCCCCCCGUUGUUCAGUCGUGGGUGCAGUGCGUGCGAGUGUGCAGUGGUUUCGGGAGCUGUUUCAACACCGGCGUGGCCUGGAGCGUGCGAGGUUAAAUUGUUCGAACAACGACACAGUUUACGUUUGCCAGGGAUACAGUUUAGACUGUUGGCAAUUAAUUAACCACUUAACGAAACGUGAUAAAAGCUUGAUACCCUUGUGAAGCAACCGAUGGUUCUUAUCGGUCAUAAUUGUUUAUCAUUCGUGGUUCGUGGUUAGUGCAGUCGAGCAGGAGUUCGAUAGGGACGAGUGUGUUAGCCAUAGUGGAGGAAGCAGGGGUCCAUGAUGC